Molecule: transfer RNA, 73 nt
Filed under: Chloroflexota bacterium
Lineage: Bacteria; Bacillati; Chloroflexota
Also listed under: 1 other name
Description: Chloroflexi bacterium (anaerobic digester metagenome) tRNA-Thr
Source: RNAcentral
GCCACCCUAGCUCAAUCGGCAGAGCAGGCGCUUCGUAAGCGUCAGGUUUCGAGUUCAAUUCUCGAGGGUGGCU